AAUGAUGAAGAAAAUAUAGAAUUCAAGGAUGAAAUAAUAGAUGUCUAUGCAGAAAAUGAAAUACCAAAGUAAAUUUAAGUGUAAUGUUUUUUUGUUCGCAAUAUUGGAGUUCAUUAGCACGAAGCUAUUUAUGUUUCCAGACAAUCAAAAGUAGACCAGUUAAAUAUAUCCAAUGCAGAAGGUGAAUUCAAUAUAACGAUUGAAGAACAUUUAGAGAGCAAUGAAUAUGUUCAUGAAGAAAGACAAUCACAAGUAGACCAGUUAAAUAUAUCCAACGCAGAAGGUGAAUUCAAUAUUAAGAUUGAAGAACAUUUGGAGAACAAUGAAUAUGUUCAUGAAGAAAGACAAACCAGUGGUAUACCAGUGAUACCAUUUUACAAAACUCUGGCAAACUUGGAUUUAGAAGCCUUAAAUCUACAUUAUUCACCAAAAAGUUUUGCAAACAUGAAAGAUAUGUUAAGGCGUGCAAAGGACGAAAUUAUAACUCUUCGUAGAAAAAACAAAUGCAUGCAGGUUAAAUUAUGUCGGUGGAAAAAACAAAUAACAAGUCUCAAAACUUUGGCAAAAGAGAAUUCGCGAACGAAACCUGGAACAAUCGGUAAAGAAAAGGAAGCGGCCAGCAUGCCGGUGUACAUUAAUAUGAAUAAUAAUAAUGCUAAAAUAAAAACGAUGAUUUAACUUU
Megalopta genalis is the source of this 682-nucleotide non-coding RNA. The record is from RefSeq and is a predicted model, not a curated record. Lineage: Eukaryota; Metazoa; Arthropoda; Insecta; Hymenoptera; Halictidae.